This 253-nucleotide ribosomal RNA is filed under the name uncultured bacterium. Its description in RNAcentral is "partial 16S ribosomal RNA". It matches the Rfam family "Bacterial small subunit ribosomal RNA", at positions 524 to 776 of the family's 1533-position model. The record is from RNAcentral.
UACGUAGGGUGCGAGCGUUGUCCGGAAUUAUUGGGCGUAAAGGGCUCGUAGGCGGUCUGUUGCGUCGGGAGUGAAAACUCAGGGCUUAACCCUGAGCCUGCUUCCGAUACGGGCAGACUAGAGGUAUGCAGGGGAGAACGGAAUUCCUGGUGUAGCGGUGAAAUGCGCAGAUAUCAGGAGGAACACCGGUGGCGGAGGCGGUUCUCUGGGCAUUACCUGACGCUGAGGAGCGAAAGUGUGGGGAGCGAACAGG